GGUUUUGUUCUCUGUCUGUUAGAGAAUUGCGGAUUAAUUUUGAUACUGAAGUUGAGCUCACCUCCCCUGGAGGAGCUAACCCUUCCUUUUCACAAUGUGUCCUUGCCUCCCAACCACAGGCCCCUUGGCGCAACCUCAAUGAGAGGGUGACACUACAGCUUCUGUGCUGAUAAAGUGAAAACAAUUGACUUCAUUCAUGCUGCUGCUUCCACAGAUACGGGGCUGAGGUACUACAGCCCAUACUGCAAAGAAUGCUAGGAAAAAUAAUUGUUCAUACCUCCGUCAGAAAUGACUUCUAUACGAAAUCCUUAUCCAAAGCUGAAACAAUUAGAAGGAAUACUAAUGUGUUUAAGUAAGAUAAUCUUACAUUACUGUGGAAAUAAGAUAUUGUUGGCCUCUGUUCUUCGUAUAACUGGACUCUGUCUUUAGAAAUGCAGUUUCCUGUUUUAGGGGAGCUUGCUGCAGUGCCUGCCUGUGCAGGAGCGGCCACUCAAGUGCAGUGGAGCAGCUGGGGCACGUGCCAGCAUUCCUUCCUGGUGCGUGUCCUGUGGGUGCAGUCGGUAACCAGAAGGGUUACAUGGAAGUGCCUCGCUGAUUGGCUGUUUGCAUGUAUCACCAGCAUCUCAGCUUUGCAGCAUUGGUGGAGUUCAAAUCACUCUUUAUAUUCAAACACGGUAAUUUGCAUGAGGCAGAAAAACAGAAUUUAGCCUACUGGUAGUAUGUGUUUGCACAAGCAGUAAUUCGUAUUGUGACUCCAAUGUGAUUUGUUGCAGAAGCCAAAAAGUGCAUGCCUCAUGCUUUCUGCAUGCAAUUCAUUCUAGCGACAAAGGGCUUACAACUUUUUGUCCCGUUGCUUUUGGUUAUGGAAGGAGAGUUUUCCCAUUUACCACAAAUGAAGGGUGUUGUAAUGUUGAAUGUUUUAAGUCCCACUUACUGCUGAAGUCUGCGUGUACAGCCUUCCACAUCAGUGCUGGUUUUGGAGAUGGCACCUGAGGUUUUAAUAAUUAUACUGUUGAUAGAUGUGAAUUAUUCAGACAUCCUUCUUAAUUUAUUCUUUUUAAUGAUCCCUGGAUGAUUUUCUCAGUAGUUUGUCCCAUUACCUAGGAUCAUCCACUUUAACAUAACUUUUUUUUUUUAAUAAAUAAGAAUACUACUGAAUCCCAUGGCCUGCUUGGGGCUUGCUCAGGCAUAUCAGUUCUUUGAAUACUGAAGUUGUUCAUUUUAUUAAAUGUUUCUUGUUUUUUCUUCCAAAUUCAGCAUUGGUUUGUGUUAGAAAAGGAGCAGAGGAGGUGGUAUGUUCGCCAUUUCGUAUCUCAGGUGGCAGGUAUUUUUCCAUCCCUUUUUCGUGGGCUAAGACACACCGUUGAUGACAAGAGUGAACGCUGGGAGAGGUGAGACUUCUAGACCCUCAGCCUUGUCAGCACCGAUUUUAAUAGACAAAAGGGGAAAAUGUUGGGGGGGUGGUUUGGUAAAAACAGGCAAAAUACUUCAGGGGUAUUUUAAUUGUAAACCCUCUGUUGUUUUUUGUUUUGCUUGUUUUGAUUUUGUUGGUUUUCUUGUUUUGAAUUCAGGAGGGGGGUUAAUUUGCUUCCAGAUCUCAUACAGUGCCUUUUGAAAUUGCUUCACUUUGUUCCCUCCACUUCUCUUCCUACAGUGGCCACGCUGUUGCAAAAGAUUUUGAUCAGAAAAUACACCAGCAGGAAUUGGAACCACAUUGUUCUGUUGCUUGGGAAACAACUAAGAAGAGAAGUUUUCGUGGCUUCACAUGAAACUCCCACAGACAAAGGUUUUCUGCCCAUACACCGAGCUUAAUUUCAGGGAGUUGUGCAUUCUCGGGCAAGCUGAUUGCUUUUCUUCUUAGCCUGAGGGCAGGCGGCCACUGGGUGCUGAAAUUCAGUGCAGCUUGAUACUGCUGCGUUGGCAGGGGCAGCGUCUGCGGCAGCCUGCUGUAACAGAGGAGGGCUUAUUGUGUGUAGCUGGAGCAGGCAGUUUGUGUAGCAACAGCUCUCCAGCCAAUCGCCAGAGGUGUUAGAGAAAGUGGAAGCGUUUGUAGCACUUCCUCUGCUUUUAUUUUUAAGAUACGCCGUAUUCUUUUCAGAGCCCCCUCCUCCCCUGCAAGUGCCAGGCGGCAUCCUGAAAGCUUUCACUCUGUUCUGUGCAAUAGAACUUGGACACUGGGAACAACUGCAAGUUGAACCAAGCCGUUUUUUUCUGAUCUUUUAGUUUUGAGCCAUGUUUGCCACGAAAAGGUUCCGUAUUUUGUUUUGCUCUCCUUUUCUGGAAAGUACUUUGCAGUGCUGGCUGUGCUGUUUAGCUAAGGAAAAUGUCUGAAUUUGUGUGUAGGCAUUUUGUAAGAGGACUUAGCGAAAAAAAUCUCAUUGGCCUUUACUCUAGUUUCUCAACAUGUGUUUUGAUUAACAAGGCUACAGCAGAGGGAGUUCUGGAAGCUACUGCAUACAGCAAAACGUAGCUCACUGUAUCAGAGAUGGCUGACUGACGAACAGUUCACUCUGCCAUUAGGCAGUUUCCUGUAAUGAGGUGGAGGGAGUUGGAUAGCUAAUGCAGAUGAUGCUGGCAAGUAGCCUUGCGCUGUGAGGAGAUGGGAGAGGCUAAGAAUUAAUGCAAGUCAGAAAAGCUAGUACUGAGGAACUGAGCUCUAUUCCAACCUUACAGCUAUUUAAGACAGCUGAAUGCACUAGAUAAUAGAAAUACAAAAGAUGAUGAUCCCUGAAGCUCCUCAGUCCACUGUUCUGUGUUUUGGAACAGAAGAAAAUCAGUCUUAAACUGAGUUUUCAUCUGCUGGGCAAACAUCUCCUGCCCAGUGAUCGGAGCUGUCUGAUGAAGCUGUAUAAUCUUGGUAGCGAGCAGUGUCCUUGCUUUGGUUAAAAAAAAAAAAAAAAAAAAAAAUCCAACCUAAAGUAACAGCAGCUGAGUUUUAGGGAAGAUACACAUCGCAUCUCCUGUUGUUACACACAGAGGCCUUGUGUGUAACAGCAUGAGCUGCUGUUUUUGACAGGUCCUUGAAUUCGGUUUGAUGGUCUUUCCUUUCCUGCAGUCCUGUUAGCGUUUGUUUGUGGAAUUCUGUCUUGCCCAGAGGCCAAGGAACAGAGGCCUGUUGCUCAGCUGCCAGAGGUGGCUGAGGGCGCUGCUCACACAGCAAAGCAUGCAGCGCUGGGGAAACGGGCAGGCCUCUUUCCCAAGAGCAAUUUUAGAGAAGGUAUUUCCAGUGCUUAUCAGAAAAACGAUAGAGUGUUUAUUUUCUGGUAAAGACAGGUGUGCAAACACUAAACUUUACAUAUACUGAACCUUGAAAUCUGAUUUUCAUUAGUAGAAUACUUGUGUGUUUUCACGCACGCAUCCAUGCGGGUUGUUUGUGGAAGGCUGCGGUUCUAUUGGUGUUGCAGUUUUCAUAAAAGCAAGUUGGGAAGUAGGCGAUUUGCUGAGUGGUUAUUGAAUGAUGCUUGGAGAGAGAGCGCUGUGUUUUCCUCCUGUGGAAAUGCACAGUAUGGUCAAUUUUAAGAGGUUGUUAAUUGGGGAGAUGUAACCAUAUGUGACAUGUAUGCUGCGUGGGUACAAGGCCACAGAACAGAGCUAGACAGAAAGCUGUUUCGUGUCUAGGGGCUGUGAACCAGUCACCAUUCAAUUAAUUAAAAGUGACAUUGAUAUGAAAUGGUUGUCGCUUUGGGGUGCCAAGGAAUGGCACCUGUACACGAUGAAAUAAGAUAGAUUUGCUAUGGUGCAUUUUCAGUAACGCACUGUGAAACCGGCCUCUAAACCUAGCUUUUAUCCUAGCAUCAAGAAAGAAAGCUGUAGUAUUGCAGCAUUCUUUAACUGUCAUGUUUUCCUUUUGGGUCGAUGCAAAGGAUGUGUUUUGGUGACCUCUGUAUGUAUUACCAGGACAUGUGCAUGAUUGAAAGUGAGUCAUCUUAUUUUUUUUUUUUGGAAGUUCGGUAGACAGCUGGGUGUUCAGGAGGGAUCACUGAGCAGUAAAUCAUGCCUACCUGUGUUCUUGGUAAGAGAAAGAGCUCUGUCAAGAAACUCAGAACUUUAAUGCAGCUGGAGAAGUAGGAGUGGGAAUGGAAAAGGAGAAUGACUAUUGCUUUCAUUACUGAAAACAAAUAACUGUUCUGUAGACAGCCCAUAGUCUGUGAGCUGUGUGGAAUCGGGAUGCUCUCACUGCCUAGUUUCAACCUGCAGAUCUGUUGUGGAGGUGCUAGUGAGCCCCAUUGUACCCCACAGAAAACUAUGGUUGAGUUUAGGUGCAUUUGCUGUUCUGUCUGCAUUUGUUCAUGACUGAGAGGGUAGCUGUCUGACUAGAAGGGGAGGAGAAUGGAGUGAGAAGCCUGUUUUCCUAGUACCUUAUUGCUUACACUACUCCUCUAAAAGCAGAAGGAAGUCUCUUCUCUGUCUGUGCUGUUUUUCCAGUUACAUUCAUCUGACUAGAAAACAACGUUGAGUUUGGUUCCUCUAUUUCCCUGCCUUCUCCACGCAUAUACCUUAAAAUAGAAUGGAUCUGUCUAUCAAGUUUUGCAGGUUGGUGGAGGAAGUUGUUUGAUGCUUAGGCAGGGGUUAUAGAUGAAAGGCACAGGAACCUGUGAGGAUUCUCUCCAUCGGGAGACCAGGAAGGUCAGGAUAUAUAUUCCUUGCAUCCUCUGGACUGCCAGAGGAUCCUCAAUUUGAGGAUGUGAAUUCUACCUGUUCUUCUAUUCCACAGAGCCAAGGUGAGUUUCAGCAAGCUGCAGUACAGUCAGCGGAGGUUUGCGAGUCAUCCGAAAAUGUCUGUGCUUCAGCGUGAGGCUUGGAACUGGUGCAUGUUGUUGCUGUAUGCCAUUUUGUUUGUCAGACAAAAAUUAGGAGGUGAUUACGGUCUAGCCUGUUUUGCUUCAUGGUUUUAUGUCUUCUUAUAGUUCCAUAAUUGUAUAUUAUAGGAGGUUCAUUAAAUCGCAUUAUAAUUAUCCUCAUUAAAAGUUAUUUUGUCUUCUAUGAAGGCAACUUAUCCUUCCCCUCACUACUGGCAGCCUGAAAUAGUAGGAAGCCACGAGUCAGACCUUAAUGCAGUGGGUUUGCAGACCUUCAUAGCUCAAAGAUCUUCUCACUUUGAGUUUUCCUGCAGGUUGUCUGCUUUUCUUUUUUUUAUCUGAAGCUGAAAGAUAGAAAGUGUUGCUGCUUUUACUUUAGGUGAAAGCUAGAUUCCACUGAAAUCGUGAUUUCAAAACCUGGGUCUUUAGAGAGAACACUGCAUCUUGAAUGGGCAAGAAAACUUUCAUUAUUCCAAAUCACUUUCUGCUGUUGUUGUAAAUAGUGAUAAGACAAUUAGUGUGUUUGGUAAAGUGCUUGCCACUAGACUUUGCCUAUACAUCUUAGAUCAAUAAAUCUAAAAAACCUGUUUUUACUUCUGAGCAUGUUUCAGCUCAGCAAACUGCCAAGCACUUGGUUCUUUAGCCAGUCAAACCGCUGUUAAUGGGUACUCUUGCCUCCAGUUAAGAAGAGAAACAGAACAUUGCUUACGAUAGACUUUUCUGUUAUGCACGCUCUUUAUGUAUGCUUGAAUUUGUGGUUUCUGAUUUCAUGGAGGUGUUUAGCUAUAGCAGUUAGGCAAACGUGGAGUGUCACUGUGUUUUUUUUCCUGGCAGCGUCACUGAGACAGCGGCAGUGAAACCAAUCCAGAGUCAGGUUCUGUUCACCACUUGCCCAACUCAUGCUCACAAGCACUGGCUUCACGAAGCGUGUCAAAAUGCAGCAAAGGGAGUGCUGAGCAAUUAGUACCUAGCAGCAGAUGAAGUUUUGGCUAAGAAGAACCUUUUUUUUUCUUCUUUUCUUUACCAUUCCAGAAACACAGACAAGACAAAUGACUGUACAGCUUUGGGUGCUAUCUGCUCAAAGCAUUUUAUCUGUGAAAUGAAGUUACCUUGUUCAGGUAUCCCUGUGUCCAGAGCCAGCUGACCUCUGCCCUUGUGUUUGUCACAUAUAAGAUUUUCUGUAUUUAGAUGGGGUUCUUUUCAUAUGCUUGCUUGUGUGGGCUGUUGCCUGGUUCAGAUGUCCACAUACUGCACAGUGCCUGAAAACCUAACAGAAGCUGAUACAGUCUUCUUCCUGCAGGAUUCUCCCCUUGAAGGAAUAUCUGCCACUAGUGAUGCAGUACCUGCUUUACAUCGAAACAUCUCAAGUAUGGUUGCCCAUACCAAACAUCCCUUAUGUGAUAGUUCUUGGACGCAGCAGGAAAAAGCUGUUUAAUGCAGUGGCCUCAUUCAUCUUGGACAAAAGAUAGUCUUGGUACGUCGAAGAGGACGGUGGGUAGGGAAGAGAUGAACUGUCGGGUUACUCAGCACGUGGGUACCUACUGAACAUGCCAGGAUGUUUAAAAAUAAGUAAAACAGUUUCAGGCAAGGCUUACUAGUUUCUGCAGACCCAAAAAAAUCAAACCCAUGUCUGCUUGUGUGACCUUGUUUGUUAAGCUCUGGAGGUUAAAGGACUUGGAAAAAAAAUGUUUCUUUGAAACUGGAGUAGUGCUUUAAAGUUAAUUUUAAAGAUAAGAGCUUUUACACUCUAGAAAAUAUAAUAAAACACUAUCUAAAGCUCCUAAAUGAACCAGAACUGUGACUAAGCAACAACAAAAAACCUUACAAAUAUGAUUAUUUCCAGUCUCCCAGAACUCCGUCUGGAAAGGCUGCAAUGUGUGACCUGCUAUGCAGCAGCAGUGUCUUGGUUGGUGGUGCUUAAUUCCAGUCCCAUAUGGCAGCAAAUGGACUGAUUUCUGCAAACUUCAGAGUUAUCAUGAUAGGCUGCUUCAAAGAUCUGUUUCAUGUUCUAGUAGAUGAUUAAUUGAAACUGUUGAUUGACUGUUUUUAAGCAGUCUGUUUAUGUAUGUGUUUCCUGAAAGGGAGAUCACUGGGUUUAUUCCUGUCCUGCUAAACUUCGUAACUGUGCCAAAUCUACUAAAGGAGAAAUUUUCUUGCUUGUAAACCUUUUCAGUUUGAGAGAACAGCUAUGUGGACUCUGUAGUGAUAAUAGAUUUGCAAAACAAGAUUUUCACCUUUGGUCUUUGGAGAGAAGUACACUAAAAAUGGCAAAGAAAGUUUAAAAAAAAAAAGUGUUUUUCUAUUCCAAGGAAGCAGUUUGAUUUCCCCCUGCCCCAAGUUCUUACUCUUCAUUAAUAACUUUCCAACAUACAAUUAAUGGUUAUGAAUACUCACAGUUCUUACCACGUUUCAGAAGCUCUCUGUAUCAAACAGGCGUGAGCCUGGGAUUCCUUUGUACUGAGCUAAGAUGAAAGUCUUAGUGCAUGACAGUGGGAAAUACACAAUUGGUAAGGGGCUAAUUUUAGGUUUCCUAGCUGCACCAGGCACUGGUUUCUGCUUCUGAUUUAUUUAUUAUUUUUGCUUAACAACAUUUUUCGAGGGAAGAACUGUCAAAUGUGUAUGUUGGGCUCAGAAGGCUUUCAGGUACAUACUGAGUGUUAGGCCAGCUAAGAUCUGUCUGCUUUGAGGACUGCAGAUGGUCAUGUCAGUAUACUUUGUAUUUAUUCAGAGUUAGUUGCUAUUAGUGACUUAAUUUUUUUUGGGGGGGGCAAUAGUAAAGCAGUGCCUUUCCCCCUUGUGUGCUGGAUCUUGCAGUAAUGUCACUGGUCUCUGGCUUAUAGUGCCUGUAAGUAGUGUUUGCAAAUCAACGUUGCAGCUUUGGCAGCAGGAGUCAUUGGUGAGGAUACAAGUGGAAGUGAGGUGUCUAACUCCUGCAGCUUGUCAGUGGACUUUGUACUUAGCUGCCCUUCCUGAUUGCUUUUCUUUCUUUCCUUUUUUUCCUUUCUUGCUUCUGAUCUUUACUAUUAAGGAAAAGGAAAAAAAAGUUAUAAGUCAUAAUUACAGUAAUAGCACUUCAUAUUGUUGUAGAAAGUCAUUACUUGGCUUAUCACAUCCAUCCUCUGCAGUUGUAGGUCCAUGACUUCUGUCUUGUGCAGCUUUUCUUUUAAUAUCAGAUCAGAAAGUGAAAAUUCCCUGUACGAGCAGAGAAGGCCCCAGCCUUGACCUCCUGCAAGGCAGCGUGAGGUUCACUGAUUCAUUCAGUUAUCACGGGUACAAGGAAACUAUUUCAUACCAGACCUCUCCCCAUUUAAGUUUGGCUUGCUAUGAGUUGCUAAUAAGAAUAGGACUCAAAGGCAAUUUACUGAUUGCCCUCCUAUCCUAAAUCAGGAUGCAAGCUACUGCUAUGAGCCCCAGUGACUGACAGCAAGUAACAGAAAAUUAUAAAUGGUUUUUUGUAUGAGAAAUCUCUUCUGUCAGCCCUUUUAUCGAAGCAGCAAUCUGAAACAAGAAAGGUUAUUCUGUUAUUUCACAAAUGAGUGGAACUAAUUUCCGAUCAGAUGAACCUGAUUGGAAUUAAAGUGGCAUGUGAGAGGCACUGACAUUUAGAACUCAUCACAAAUAUUUAGAGAGGGUAAUCUCUCCUACACAGAGAUAUACAAAUUCUCUGGUAGCACCUUGCAGAGCCCAAGAUCUCUUCUGCAGUAUGCAAAAGCUUUAAAAUGCCCUCUAAAGCCUUCAGCUGAGAUGGUCAUUAGGCACUUAUUCCAGAUGCUUUUAAGGAUUUUUUGGAAUGCCAGUUGUUCUAGGUCUGGCUCUCAGGACAAAGCAAACAACUGUUGUUUCCCUUGAAAUUUUGUCUAAAGCCAUAUUUCAGACACUAAAAUACAGUAUUUAUUGAAAUGAUGACUUUUUUUUUUGCUGCUCAUAAAAGAUAUGACAUGAAAAUUAAAUGUACGACAGAUGCUAGAGAUGUCUCAUCUCAGCUGAAUUGGGUUACUAUGUAAAUCUUCAGUCACAUCCUCCUCUGCGCUGCAUCUUCUUACUUUAUCUCUUGGUUGCAUAUAAAAGGCAGAAAUGAACUGUGCUGAGGACUUGCUGAUGACAAAAGGAGUGUGUGCUCCUUUUGUGCCUGGCAUUCAUCUGACCACACGCUCAGCAAGCUGGUCCUGAUCUCCUCAUCCAGCAGCAGAAAUGGUGUUAAUUUUUUUUCUGUUACAGUUGACUGGGGUCAUGGUACAGCUGGGUGCCAGAGCCAGCUCGAGGUGCAGGGGGAGCAUAUGGCUGUGAGAGAGGGGGUAAGGGAGAAGUGGGAAAGGAGAGAUAGAAAACACCCUGUUUUUGCUAUUUUUAACAUAUAACAGAUAGCUCCCUGAUACUUACCAGUGUUUUUUGGCUGAUCUUUGUUGUGUAUUGCUCUAUGCGCACUGUGCAAGUAGAAAGGCUGUGAGGAACUGAGUGUUGUUCUGGCAUCUUGCCUGCUUCCUGCCCUAGUGCCCCAACCACAGUAUGAGCGUAGAUUUGCUUUGUGAUGCUCCAUGGAGGGUAUUAAGCUGCCUCUUCUACUCGGUUAGAGACAAUUCCUUGCACAGAAGGGGAGGAGAUACACGUUUUGGUAAUACUUGGAUUGCCAGUAAUUCUAUGACGUGGCAGUGUUUAACUGUAUGUAUGAAAUACUUACCUGUGAUUACUGAAGUAUAUUGUAAUAGCAGUUUGUUUUGCAUGCUAAAACUUGCAAGAGAAAAAUGCAUUUAGUUGUCAAAUAGCUGGAGAAAUUUGAAGCUGGUGGAUUAUUUUCAUUAGAUGGAGAAAAUGGCAGGAAACCAAAUGCAUGCAGACACAAAUGGAAUUCAGGAGCUAUGCGGUGUGCAGAGUCAGUGUUCCUUAUUCUGAAUAGAGUUCGUGUAACUAGAGAUGGAUUGAAGUGCUGCGUUUUGGGAGUUUUACGCCUGCUAUUACGAAAUGUUCAUAGUAGAGAUUGUACUCGUAUGCACGGUUCACCGUGACCAGGUAUGAUUGCCAUGCUGAAAUUCCAGGCUGUGGAGGGAUGCGGGCAGUAGGCGUGCUGUGUGACACAACCCAUGGCGAUGGGCCUGGUGGCCUCUGUGUCUGCACUGUGUGGAUUCCAAGGCCGUGGCCCUCCCCACAGCGAGGAGCCCUGAGCAGCGCGGCAUGGGCAGCCCAGGUGGAUUCUGAGGGGCCGGAUCACCUCUGGCUUGCAGAAUGCAUGGCUUUCUCUGAGACCGUUCGCUGUUACUUCCUCAUUAUUCCUUUCAGUUAAAGAAUGCACCCUUCUUUUCUUCACUUGAAUAGACCAAGUAGAAUUGAUCAUUGUUUCCUACCACAGAAACAAGUAAUUAUUUACCAAAAAUUGCACAAAAAUUGUUGCAUUUUAAUCUAUUGUAGUUCUUUGUCAUUUACGGCCUAUCAGAUUCUUUUAGAACAAGCUGAUGAACAGGCUUAAAUUAUCAUUUUAUGCUUCUUUUUUUCAUUAAAUUAAGCUUGAACUCAGAAAACGAGGGUGGCUGAGUAACGGUGGUGCUAUUCAGAUGAAGCGUUCAUUAGAUCCAUGCAGCUGUCCUGAGAUGUUUGUUUCCCCUGACUUGCAGAUUCUCCUAAUCCUCUCCCACUGGUCGCUGCCGCCCUCUGCACCACGUGCAGAUGGGUGGUACCAGUGUCCUGUUACCUGCUCCAGGCAAAGUGGGCCGGAUAAGAUUAGUGCUUGAAGUCAGUGCCCUGAGCUAACUUGUCUGAAUUUUUGCCUGUGUGAUGAGAUAGCAGACUGCUUCAUGUGAGCACUGACUCUGCAGAGGAGGUGGUGGUAUCCUGGCAGAGAGGCAGGCGGCAAGCUUGGGUGGUUAAACUCAUCUUCAAGUCUUUGCAUUGGGUAGAAUUGACGGUGCUGAGGGUGUUUGGAGAACAUAGAGCUAAUCCAUACUGACGUAAUUUUACAGGCCCAGAGAGUGAUAAGUCCAGUUCAGUUUUGUAACGCUAACUAACCCUGUUUGUGUUUGUGGAAAGCAAAAUGUGACAAGUGACCUUGCAGGCUGGUAGUUACCGCUUCUUUUCUCUUGAGUAUUAGAACUGGAGCUCUAGGCCAGCUCCUUGUGCAAAUAUUCAAGCAGCUCUUUCAAAGCUGAUGGCUUCCAACUGGAAACGUAAAUAAAUUUGUGAUAAGGAGAAGUCAGUGGAAACAUUGUGAGCAGUCUGCGCCUGUGAACUAAGGUGCUUGGCUUAAAAGCACAGUAAUCACAAGAACAGCACAGAAUGGAGUUGUUAAAGCACUGGUUCUAGCUUUACUUGACAUUAAUGGCUGCUUCGUAUGGAUACUUUGAAUUCUCAGAUCAAGGAUGUAACUGAAAGACAGUCACAGCUAGACCUCCCAAGGCCAUCCGUGUGUCGGGGUGGAGUUGAAAGGAGCCACUGGUUAUAGCAGGUUCACAGAUUCCAGAUUGUUGUUUCAUAAAGCUAAUUCUGCGUGUAGUGCUGAGGUAUCUAACUGUUGUCAUACCAUUAUAGAAUUGAAAGGCAAUUUUUUGAUGUAAAUUACUGCGGUCUUUGGAACUAAAAAUUAGUCUUGUGUUAUCAUAAAUUUUAAGAAUUAGCCAAACCAAAUGAGCUUACUGUGCACGCUUUGGAAAGCGUGGAAACCACUGACGUGCGGUUACUUAAAAUGUUCAUCUCUACUGUUUAUACUUGUUCCCAAAAAGUGCAUAUCUGAAGCAGGUGCUGAGCCUAGUAAGUUACGUGGAAUGGGCAGCCUGGGGCAGAAUGCCUGGAUGGCAAAUGGGCGGUCAGCGCAAAGCCUUGACUGGUUGGGUAACUCCUACUUGAAGCAUGCCGUGUGGGCAGCCACAGUGAGUCUGACUGUUUGCAGGAUAGAGUUGCUGCAACUACUGGGAGCAGUCCGUUGUACUGGGGAUUUCCUAAAAAUGGACUUUGAUCUCGCUUCGUGAGAUGAGGCUGAUAUUGACAGUGCUGCAGAUUUUUAAGUGUUGGGUAAAUGAGUUACCUCUCUCUCCAUUUGAAUGGAAGCCACGAAGACAACAUACACACCAAGUACUCUGUCAUUACUAGCUAUGUUUGUAUGUGGAAUAAUUUAGCAGAGUGCUGAACUCUUUUAUUCUCUUAAUAUUUAAAGAUUGUAGUGGUAUCACGUAGUGUAGAGAAGUUGUAUUAAUCUCUCGUCAUGUUGCUAUCCAAAGAAAUACUGUUUUGUACUCGUUGGUCAUGGGAGAUGUUAUCCCAGCUCUGCAAGAUGGAAAAUAAGUUUGAAACAUACUUUUGAAAAUUGCAUCCAACUACUUCAUUCGGGAAAUGAAGGUCUGAGGAGCUUUCAUAUGUCUUUUCUAUAGAGAAUUCCAAUAUUUUCUAUAUUGAAUGGAGGUUACAUAGCUGUUUUUAAUCCCACUGUUAACAUAUUAGGUUACAAGUAUCUUUCCACUUAAUUGAGCAAACACAGGAGAGUGUUUAUGUAACUGAAGAUGUGCAACUGCCAAUAGAAUUAAUUAGGAGAAGAAUAAUUAGGCAAAUAGUAGUCUCCAAAUGGUCCCAACAGAAAAAUGUAUUGCAAUCCCAAUAGAAAUCUCAUUAAUGUUGUUGUUUGUGUUGAGCUGUGCCUUUUGCUGUACCACAGAGGAAGGCAUUUGUGGAAAGAGCUCAGUGGGGUGUCAGUUUGGGUAUGAAGCAGAAACAAUAUCAAGGUUUUAAACUGUCUGAUCUCAUUACUGUCACUUAGUCCUGGCUGCAACUCCAAUAUCUGCUUAAAAGCCUUUCUUGACUGAAUGAGCCACUUAGGGCCAAAUAGGUACAAAAGAAAAAUUCACUUUAGGACUUGUUACAGAAGUGUUGCUUCGUGUAUCAGAAGCAGGUUGUCCCUUACACCAAGCAAAUAACCAAACAAAAAAUGAGGCGAUGCUUAUUUCAAACAUUUUUUGCUCAAAUUCAACAGCUUAUUUAAAAAGAAGUCAGCAUAUUAUCUAGACCUUUCAUUGUAAUGUUAGUCAGACUGAAAUAAAAGGAAGCUCAUUCUGACUUCUUGCUCCAGUUACAAAACUGGAAUUGGAUACAAGUCUACUUUUGUAUGAAAACCAUAGAAUAGCUGGGUAACUUCUCCAUCUGCAUCAUGAAGAGACAUCGAUGCACAUACCUAAGAAAGCACUCAGGUUCUUUGGAUCUGUAAGGGACAAAGAACUUAAGAGAGAAUGUAUCUGAUAUUUUAUGGCAUCGCUCUUUACAAUCUGAGCAGCAUCCACUUUCUUGACCGAUGUGUUGUGGGACCUGGGACUGAGUGGACAUUCCACUACAAUUCAAAGAUUAAUGAACAUCGUAUCAUAUUUACUGUAACGAAGUCUCUUUGGUCCCCAGUCUAUGGUAGCAGUGUUGUGAUUUGUCACUGGGGCAAUAUCUCAGUUCUCUGUGGUAAGCAGAGGGUGGGAAAAUCAGGUUUUCAGUCUGUAGAGAGUUGUGCGCGGCCUGCUUGCUGUAACAGAGAAGAUGAGUUUUUCCUGUUAUUUCCACCUGUUUGACAUCUUAUCUUCUUUAGUUCUUUUACAAAUUACUGUAUUUCGCUCUACAACACAGUGCAGAGUGCAUGUUUCAGGCUUGUUUCAUAGGCACACUGGGGUAGUAUAUAAGGUGGAGUAAUAUGUACAGUGAGAGCGUCUUCCAAGAAAAUGUAACAGUAAAACCAAAGCAUUUUACAAGCCGUCAUUCAGAGCUUCCAGAGAGAAGCCUUGCCGCAUUUCAGAGGAAGCAUCUGAGGUCUGGAGGGGUUGGGGAAGCUGUUUAAGGACCACAAAUAUCAUUUGUAGCAAUGCUAGCAAUACAGUCCUGUACAACUCCACUUUCCGACAGCGUUAGAAUGAUAGCCUUCAUUCCUCUACCAGUGAGCUACAGCACCUUUUGGGUUUGAACUGCUAACAGGAUUUUGUUCUGUUUCUUUGGUAAGAACAAGCUAGCAGCUGAGUAAUGUGUGCUGUAGUGAAUGUGUUUUAUUUUUGGUGAAUGGUAAAUGAAUCCACAUUAAAAUGUUGUAGACUGACAACUCUGGAAACCAAAUGCCUCUUUUUGUAGUGUAGGCAACUACAAAAUGCAGACAACAGUUACUGUGCUCUACUUCCCCUACUGGAUAUAGUUGCCAUUGUUUCUAAUUAGCUUACUUUCCUGUUACAGUAGCAGCUGUGGAUAAAUAGCAGUCAAGCCAUCCUCUUACUUAUAUGAAUUUUUAAAAAUGUGUCUAUAAAAUAUUCACCGGCUCUGAAUUCCUGGAGCCACAUUCAGGCACACAUAUCACUUGCUUGCUGAAAAGAAACCGACAUCCAAGUGAGAUUUCUGCAACUCGUCCUGAAGACAGUAGGUAUGAAACCAGGUAAGAAAUAGAAGUAGUUGUCUGACUAUGAGUCUUGGAACACGGUCUAAAUGAGGAGUGAUGCUCCAUACUGCUGUCCAGUGCAGAAAACCCAAAAUGGGAGGUUCUGGCUUCCCCAGUACAUGGCCAUGAAUGCUGAAUUUGUUGCAGUUAAUCAGCUAACCAGUGACUGUAGUGCUAAUGGCAAAGCCUUUCUUUUGAUGCUUUCUAAACACAGCCCUUUUGUGGUCUUCCACAGAACUUGCAGAAGGAAAAGUGUACAAAAAUGCAUGCAAUGAAUGAGCAGCAAGGCUGAUGCCUCAGAAGGGUCUUGGCUGUGGUGUACAUCCCAGAGCUAUACUUUAGCACUUGCAGCAUGUGCUGCAGUUAAAUCCAAUGCGUCUGGGGAGUGCUGAACACCUACAUUAGAGACAGAGCAACUGUGACAGAUGUGCAACAGCUCUGAUGCACAUCCAGAUUACCAGUUGCUGUGCAAACACUGUGCACUUAGAUGAGGGCUGCUGCUGUCUGUAAUAUUCUUGAACAAACGACAUGAAUGCACUGCGCAGUGCAGGCAUGACUAAGGCCAGUGCUUUCAGGACUUGGCAAGAUUUACUGGCAUGAAAGAUCUCUUCACAGCUAACAUAUGCUGAACACAGAUUUUGCCUCUUGUGUGCACAGAAACGGGGUAUUUCUAGUGUUCAUGGACAGAACUGUAUUGCAGUACAUAGCCCUGCUUCCACACCUGAGCUUCUUCCAGUUCAUGUCUUUAAUGGUCAAAUGCUGAUGCCCUGCUUCCUGGGGAGGUGCUGUGCUGAGGGGACUCUCAAGAAGUGUCACUCUUGCAUGUCUCACCAAGUGAAUUCAUGGGAGCAUGGCUUUAUUAAUCUCAGGGCUGCUGGGCAGUAUUCUGUUUCCCUUGUCCACCUCUUACAGCAUGAGUCAAUUUAGACGAAUCAAAUUAAUAAUCAAAGAUGUAAUGACUUAAAAACGUAACUCCGCCUGAGGUAACAGAGUAGUGCUGGCUCAUUGGUGCUUAUUGUUUCCACCCUGGACGUAAAAAGAAAGGGUAUGGCCUGUUAGAGAGAGUGCUGGGGAGCUGCCCUGGAGGCUGGUCAGGGUGGGACCCGGGCAGCCAGGCCAGGAUAGGAAGAUGAUGUUAUGGCUUAGGAUGGGAAGCUGAUGUUAUGGCUUUUAAUAAGUUCAAAUUCAAAAAUAGCUGACAGCCAACCACCCUCCUAGUUCUGAUUAGAAGCUGUUUUUUUUCCUAUGGGGACUUAAUUGUUUCUUUGCUCUUAUAUAACCAGGUUACAUUGAAGUUGACUUUUAUUGUAGUUGAUGCUUUUUAUUCCCCUUUCUACUUCUUUUUCCCAGUAAUAAAAGUUUGAGGAUGUCAGUCAGCAUGGGGACUGAGCUGCAGGGGAAGCAAACUGCUCACCCUUUCCACUUGUCUGCUCCGCUGGGUCCUGGUGCCUCACUGCUUCCCAUGUCUUCUCAUCAUGAUUUAGUGUAUGUUAGAACCCAAAACUCUUCAGAAUAACAUCCAGUAGAUUAGGAAACACUGAUCCAGUAAACAAAAAUUAGGUCACCUCUUGGACUAAUUUGCAAAUCCCAUGCAAGCAGUUUGCUAAAAUUAGAGACUAAGUCUUCUGUUUGUGUUACUUCCCUAAGAAAGAAUAAAUUCUAGCCUGAAACUGAGCUGUAAUGCAUGUAGUCACCUCAGUGACUCGGCAGGUGUUUGAUUGGUGUGAUUGGUGUUUACAGAUGAACAAAAUUUGUGCUCUGCAAAUCGUGCUAUCAGUUUCCUAAAGCUUUACAUCUCUGCAUUCAGCAAUGGGCAGCAUGCAGAUGUAAUGUUUGGAAAGUCCAUCCAGCAGGUUAUUUUUCUCCAGAUUCUCUCCUUUUGGAAAUGCUGUGCCGUUAAGGUUUAUUUUGGAGAGAUUAGAUGCUGACGUGCGAAACCUGUUGCUUAUCUUGGUUUUGGCUGCUUUAUCUACAAAAGCGAAGCAGAGCAGUAGGAUUAGAAUAGGUGAAUGGAUUAGAGAUUAGAAUAGGAUUAGAGAUGGUUUGUCUGUACUCCAAAAAUUGAUUUAUGGAGAUCUCUAAUUCUGGCUGGUACUGCUAUGUACUGGUAAGCCAUCAUAAACUAAUAUGAAUGUAAGUGUGCUCAUCUAAUGGAUCUUAUUAUAAAUGAAGAUGUUGGUUUAUGCUAUUUUGGUUAAAACUGUAAAAGGAGCGUAGUAUUGGUUCAGCAUGUUUAUUGUAAGUAGUCAAAUAUAGAUAUCUAGCUCCCCUUUCCUGUUACUCUACUUCACAAGAACGCUGUUACUUUUAUCAGUUUCUAUAUUUCCUGAAUAUGGGAGUGAUGUUAUUGCAUGGUGAAAAAUAUGUUGAAAUAGAGAGUGAGGGGUUGGAAAUAGAAUGUAAGAAUGGAUUUAUUUAAAAAAGAAAAAAAAAUAGUCAUUUGGUAGAAAUUAAUUGUCUAUUCUUUGAGAAACGAGUGCUGUGCACUCGUGUACAGCCUUGCAAAGCUCACAGGUAGUGACUGACAGAUCCAGUGACGAGGCAGAAAAAGGCUAUGCAAAUUCUCUACAGUUAAUACAUUUUUUUUAUUUUGCUGAUCCACUUCAAAAACCAGGAGACUUUGGGAGAACUAAACACAGAGAAUGGAAAGCUGUUACUGUAAAGAGACCAAGCUAGUCCUGGCAAGUGCAGACACAGCUCCUACCAAACCCAGUAGGAGCUAUGUUCAUGUUAAACCUGAAUUAGGUCCAAAAUGUUAUUCUAUGGCUGUGGUAGCACUCGUGUAGACCUGCCUUCUAUAAUGUUAGGCUAUGAGACAAUACUAAAGCUUUUCUGUCCUACGUAAAUGUGUAAAAAUGAGUAACAGUUCAUAGUGACCUUAGAACAGCUCCAUGCUUUUAAAAAUGAUGGAAUAUUUGUAGAGCUUCCUGUAUGAAGUGUCUGAGGAACGGUAAAAAGUCCCAGAACAGUAGAAUGGGGGGUGUAUAAAUUGAAACUACCUUAAAAGAAAGUACUUUGCAGAACAGAUUACUUGCCCCAGGAGGAGAGUGUAGGGGUGGAUUGCAUACACUGGUUCAAAAAGGGCUGUGGUUCAAUCAGGACUAUGGGAUUAUGGAUACUCUACAUGCCUAACCCACUAGUUUUAUGGUUUUGUUGCCUUCUUUUUUAAUGUUUUAAUAAAAAAUAAAUGAAGUUUUGCUACUUAAUGCAUUAAUACAUUAAAUAUUGUAUAUGUAUUUUUUUAUCUAUAUGGCCCAAGACAAUUCCUCUUCACUCAGUGCUGCUCAGGCAAGCCAAGAGGUUGGACACCCGUAGUGCACCAAGUAAUGAGCAGGCUAGCAGCUGGAUAAGUCACACUGAUGCAGUGUGUCACAUGCGUGUAUUUCACCAAGAGGAAAGUGAUAAAGUCUCUAUCUCUCAAAUUUAGUAACUGUAGCUGUCAGUCUUAAUGAGAAGGAUUAUGAAUUAAAAAGGGCCAAUGUUGUUUAUGGGAGUGAUGUGGACUCAGAAUCUGAAACUCAGUGAUUAUAAUCACCACAAUAAGCAUUGCUGGGCUCUACUUAAUUUAUACAUGAUUAGAUGGUAACAUUUUCAGCUGGAAUAUUAAAACACCUCAAAUGCAUUAGUGUCAAUCAUAGGUGCAUGUCACCUUUUUUGAAAAGAGACAGUAAUCUAGGCUGAUCCAUAAUCUAUCAACAAAACUCCAUGAAUAUCAACAUUACCUUAGUACAGAGUUUUCAGGAAGGAUAGCACCUUUUUGUGUGUACUUGUAAAGCUUCACCCUGUAAAUAUUGUAAUACAAGCCACAGAAUACUAACAUUUGCUCAAAUGUUUUGAAAUACAUUUGUUAUUGAUUUUUUUUUUCUUCUCUAGCCUUCUAUUAUGGACCACAUGUCCUGCUAUCUGUCCUGCAUAACAAGAGCCAAGAGAGGCCUAGAGAUCUCCAAGCAGAAAACUAGGAUGUGAUGGCUGGGUAUGGUGUAGCAGCAGUAUGACCAUGAAGGAUGGUAAGUUGUACCCUAGUAUGAUUGAAAAAGUGGAGAAUUAUUAAGUAGCUUCAGUCACCUCAAACAAAUGUUCCUCUCUUGUGUUCUUUACCUCGAAUUUCCACAGGCAUGCCACAGGCCUUCAUUCCACCAUAGUAAAUCAAGAGAACAAUGUAAGUCUGGCAAAACUUCAUUUAUUUGCAUAACAAAGGCUGUAGUAAAUCAGAUAGUAAAUAACAAAAAUGUGGGUUCAUAUUGAACAAAUUAAUUCCACGUGAGGGAUUAGGUCUAACAUCAACUUCCAUGAAGGCCUUUACGUUUCGCUCCAGCACUCAGCUGGCUUCUCGGGAUGGACGGCUGCAUGGAGGCUUGCAAGGAGCUAUCUGAAUCAUGUGCAGCCCUUGGAAACCACCAGCUCCUCUGUAAGAGAAGUGUAUCAAGGAAGAUUCCUCCAAACUUACCACUUGCAUUUCACCUUCUGCAGGCCACACAAUUCUCCUCUACUUUAUAACAACGUAUGAACGUUUGUACAAAAGAGCGAAGUGACUCCCAGCUGUCCUCCAACAGAAAUCCAAUGAUUUACUGACUUGAUGUACAAGAUGGCAGAAAACAGUAUGGUUCUGUUUAUAAUAGAAUUUCUUUGAGAUUUGUGGCUAUAAAAUAUAUACAUUCUGGUGAAGUUAGUUAUUUAAAAAUUUAGGUGGAAAUAUGUCUAAAUACUACAGCAGUUUUUAUAAUAAUACACUUACUGUUGUAUGGACAUGGUAAUUCUCAGCACAAACAUGCGUUUUCCAGCUGAUAAUGCUUCUCCUCUACCUUUCUUUCUACAAAUGUCAGUGUUUGGUCUUCCAUUGUAAGACAAUCUGAUAUUACCAUGCCAAUUAAAUCUAUCUUAUCAAAGCAAAAUGUAUUGCAGAGAAGGCAAUUAGGAUUCAAAAUAUAUACUAAAUUGAGCCCAAUCACUGAGCACUGAUCCACUCGAGAACCAUACCUGUAGUUUUGUCAUCUGCUUUAGCACCUGUGCGUAUGAAUUGGAUCUGAGUCAGCGACACAAGAAUCAGAAGCAGAUGAUGCAUGUGUAAAACGUGUCAUUGGGAAGCUUGUGAAGAUGAACGAGUUUGCUGGCCACUGGGUUGCUGAUUGAUCUUCUGAAGUAAGAGCUUUUGGUUUUUUUCCCAGCUUUGAUGUUGACCAACUUUGUUAUACUUUGAAUUUCAGCUUUGUUAAGUGCUCUCAGGCCUAGUAUUAAGGUGUUAGUUGUGGUUGCAUCCAUUACAAGGCAGGUACUUGCGAAACACUUAAUACAGACAUUUCGUAACAAAAAUGAUAACGGAAGGAAACUUCAGUAAAUUUAUAAACAAGACAUACCUAAGAAAUGUAAGUAACACAACAGAAAAAGGUCUUGAAAUUAAGAGGAUUAGGUAUUGCUGGCAAGACAAGUGUAACGAUGUAAGGUGCAGUAAGAAAGCAAGUGUAUGAGCAUAGCAAUAAAGGGCAGUACCUGAGGACCCCUCCCUGAACAUGUUGGUAUCAGUUUUGCUUGGUGUGUGGUGCAAUAUAUGCAUGCUCUGGCUCUGUAUGGACUCAAAGGAGAAAGAGAGAAUCCCAUUUGUCUUCCCUUUCCCUCUGAUCUCCAUGAAAUCCUACCAUGAGAUGAGCGGACUCGAGCAGCGUGUGACGAUGUGCCUGUGCAGAACAGGGCAGUGCAGCCCGAGUUGGUGGUGGAUGGUGCAAGAAGGCAAUGGGAGGGACGCUCUGGGCAGAGGGGUUGCCCUAAUGUACCUCUGUGGCUUGGACAGGAAUGGAUCAUUCAUGGCAAAUUCAUCUGUGUAGUGGUGAGAACAUAGGACUUAGACUUUCAAAGGUAUGUCUGUAAUUCUGCCAGGCAGCACGUGGCCUGUAAUUAUUUCCCUAUGCUAUUCUGUUAAUUUACACUUGUUUUACUUUGCUUGUGUUCGAGCAGAUCCAUGUUAUAAUGGAAAUACACCAGCAGCGCUACAGAACGAAGGCCAAGACUCAAGUAAGUGUUCUGGAGUGAGUUUUUGUCAUACCUGUUCAAACAGCAAGUCAGAGGAAAAAAAAAAACAACAUAACAAAACAUGCAUUCAAGCUAUUAAAUUAGCAUGUGACUGGAGAUCUAGAUUCAUGAAUAACAUACAAGCGUCGUGACGCCGAACCUUUGCAGUUUGUGUGGGUGCAAACUUCGGUUCCACUCACUGUGUGAGGUUUGCCCCUGCACCUCCUUCCCAGAAGGGCUUACCAUGGGGUGAAGCUCCCAGCAUAGGCAUGACUCCGACACAAACCUGUUGUUGCCAGUAAGAGUGGUGUUCAGCGUGUAAGACGUUGUAUUGCCUGAAGCUUAUCUGUGCAGGCCUAUAAAAAUAGCCCUCAAAUGGAUAACUUUUUCCAGAUUAAAUAAACACAUCAUUAAUGUAA
Molecule: long non-coding RNA, 20591 nt
Organism: Numida meleagris (helmeted guineafowl)
Lineage: Eukaryota; Metazoa; Chordata; Aves; Galliformes; Numididae
Exons: 3
Source: RefSeq, a predicted model, not a curated record